CCUACGGGAGGCAGCAGUGAGGAAUAUUGCGCAAUGGAGGCAACUCUGACGCAGCCAUGCCGCGUGCAGGAUGAAGGCGCUACGCGUUGUAAACUGCUUUUAACCGGGAAGAAACCCCAGGACGUGUCCUGGGUUGACGGUACCGGAGGAAUAAGCACCGGCUAACUUCGUGCCAGCAGCCGCGGUAAU
This 189-nucleotide ribosomal RNA is filed under the name uncultured bacterium. Its description in RNAcentral is "partial 16S ribosomal RNA". It matches the Rfam family "Bacterial small subunit ribosomal RNA", at positions 338 to 524 of the family's 1533-position model. The record is from RNAcentral.